ACCUGCCCAGAAGCGGGGGAUAACACCUGGAAACAGAUGCUAAUACCGCAUAACAACUUGGACCGCAUGGUCCGAGCUUGAAAGAUGGCUUCGGCUAUCACUUUUGGAUGGUCCCGCGGCGUAUUAGCUAGAUGGUGGGGUAACGGCUCACCAUGGCAAUGAUACGUAGCCGACCUGAGAGGGUAAUCGGCCACAUUGGGACUGAGACACGGCCCAAACUCCUACGGGAGGCAGCAGUAGGGAAUCUUCCACAAUGGACGAAAGUCUGAUGGAGCAACGCCGCGUGAGUGAAGAAGGGUUUCGGCUCGUAAAACUCUGUUGUUAAAGAAGAACAUAUCUGAGAGUAACUGUUCAGGUAUUGACGGUAUUUAACCAGAAAGCCACGGCUAACUACGUGCCAGCAGCCGCGGUAAUACGUAGGUGGCAAGCGUUGUCCGGAUUUAUUGGGCGUAAAGCGAGCGCAGGCGGUUUUUUAAGUCUGAUGUGAAAGCCUUCGGCUCAACCGAAGAAGUGCAUCGGAAACUGGGAAACUUGAGUGCAGAAGAGGACAGUGGAACUCCAUGUGUAGCGGUGAAAUGCGUAGAUAUAUGGAAGAACACCAGUGGCGAAGGCGGCUGUCUGGUCUGUAACUGACGCUGAGGCUCGAAAGUAUGGGUAGCAAAACAGGAUUAGAUACCCUGGGUAGUCCAUACCGUUAAACGAUGAAUGCUAAGUGUUGGAGGGGUUUCCGCCCUUCAUGCUGCAGCUAACGCAUUAAGCAUUCCCCCUGGGGAGUACGGG
RNAcentral lists this ribosomal RNA (780 nucleotides) under uncultured bacterium. RNAcentral's name for it is "bacterial SSU rRNA". It matches the Rfam family "Bacterial small subunit ribosomal RNA", at positions 124 to 886 of the family's 1533-position model. The record is from RNAcentral.